UACGUAGGGUGCAAGCGUUAAUCGGAAUUACUGGGCGUAAAGCGUGCGCAGGCGGUUCGCUAAGACAGAUGUGAAAUCCCCGGGCUUAACCUGGGAACUGCAUUUGUGACUGGCGGGCUAGAGUAUGGCAGAGGGGGGUAGAAUUCCACGGUGUAGCAGUGAAAUGCGUAGAGAUGUGGAGGAAUACCGAUGGCGAAGGCAGCCCCCUGGGCCAAUACUGACGCUCAUGCACGAAAGCGUGGGGAGCAAACAGG
This 254-nucleotide ribosomal RNA is filed under the name uncultured bacterium. RNAcentral describes it as "partial 16S ribosomal RNA". It matches the Rfam family "Bacterial small subunit ribosomal RNA", at positions 524 to 776 of the family's 1533-position model. The record is from RNAcentral.